UGUGAAGCACUUUUUGAAUGGGAAUAUCUGCUCCCUCUUAUAUCUCACCCACCAGAAAAUCUCGUGGGACUUCAAAAUGUUGGUACUUUUUAUCACAUGAAUUCUGUGAUCCAGCAGCCAUAUAUAUAUGUGUGUGUGUGUGUGUUUGUGUGUGUAUAUAUAUUCCAAUGGAGACAGUAUUCUUGCAAUUGAAUGCAUAGGUAAAAAUACAGACAAUGAUUUUAUGAAGAUGAGAAGCAGAACAGUGAGAAUGUUGAUCCCCAAGAUAAUUUACUAGAAUAUUUUUAUUAAUUUGAAGACAAAUCAGAGUUAAGUAAGACAGGAGGUAGAAAAGAGUACAAUAUUAGUGUCCUAAGGCACCUUCAAGACAUCUUUGUUCAUUUAGCUAUUUUCAAACUACAGUCCUAUAUACCCAAAGAAUUUUGGUAACAA
This 432-nucleotide long non-coding RNA is filed under the name Homo sapiens (human). RNAcentral's name for it is "non-protein coding lnc-BPY2C-17:1". Lineage: Eukaryota; Metazoa; Chordata; Mammalia; Primates; Hominidae. The record is from RNAcentral.